RNAcentral lists this ribosomal RNA (468 nucleotides) under uncultured bacterium. RNAcentral describes it as "partial 16S ribosomal RNA". It matches the Rfam family "Bacterial small subunit ribosomal RNA", at positions 28 to 507 of the family's 1533-position model. The record is from RNAcentral.
GACGAACGCUGGCGGCGUGCUUAACACAUGCAAGUCGAACGGACAGGCCCUGCUUUUGUGGGGUGCUCGAGUGGCGAACGGGUGAGUAACACGUGAGUAACCUGCCCUUGACUUUGUGAUAACUUCAGGAAACUGGGGCUAAUACCGGAUAGGAGCUCCUGCUGCAUGGUGGUGGUUGGAAAGUUUCGGCGGUUGGGGAUGGACUCGCGGCUUAUCAGCUUGUUGGUGGGGUAGUGGCUUACCAAGGCUUUGACGGGUAGCCGGCCUGAGAGGGUGACCGGCCACAUUGGGACUGAGAUACGGCCCAGACUCCUACGGGAGGCAGCAGUGGGGAAUAUUGCACAAUGGGCGGAAGCCUGAUGCAGCAACGCCGCGUGCGGGAUGACGGCCUUCGGGUUGUAAACCGCUUUCGCCUGUGACGAAGCGUGAGUGACGGUAAUGGGUAAAGAAGCACCGGCUAACUACGUG